This 76-nucleotide transfer RNA is filed under the name Clostridia bacterium. RNAcentral describes it as "tRNA-Met". It matches the Rfam family "tRNA". Rfam says of the family: Transfer RNA (tRNA) molecules are approximately 80 nucleotides in length. Their secondary structure includes four short double-helical elements and three loops (D, anti-codon, and T loops). Lineage: Bacteria; Bacillati; Bacillota; Clostridia. The record is from RNAcentral.
UGCGGGGUGGAGCAGCUGGUAGCUCGUCGGGCUCAUAACCCGGAGGUCGUUGGUUCGAAUCCAACCCCCGCAACCA